AGUGAACGCUGGCGGUAGGCCUAACACAUGCAAGUCGAACGGCAGCACAGUAAGAGCUUGCUCUUACGGGUGGCGAGUGGCGGACGGGUGAGGGAUACAUCGGAAUCUACUUUUUCGUGGGGGAUAACGUAGGGAAACUUACGCUAAUACCGCAUACGACCUACGGGUGAAAGCAGGGGAUCUUCGGACCUUGCGCGAUUGAAUGAGCCGAUGUCGGAUUAGCUAGUUGGCGGGGUAAAGGCCCACCAAGGCGACGAUCCGUAGCUGGUCUGAGAGGAUGAUCAGCCACACUGGAACUGAGACACGGUCCAGACUCCUACGGGAGGCAGCAGUGGGGAAUAUUGGACAAUGGGCGCAAGCCUGAUCCAGCCAUACCGCGUGGGUGAAGAAGGCCUUCGGGUUGUAAAGCCCUUCUGUUGGGAAAGAAAAGCAGCAGGUUAAUACCCCGCUGUUCUGACGGUACCCAAAGAAUAAGCACCGGCUAACUUCGUG
RNAcentral lists this ribosomal RNA (492 nucleotides) under uncultured bacterium. RNAcentral's name for it is "partial 16S ribosomal RNA". It matches the Rfam family "Bacterial small subunit ribosomal RNA", at positions 29 to 507 of the family's 1533-position model. The record is from RNAcentral.